RNAcentral lists this small RNA (133 nucleotides) under Arabidopsis thaliana (thale cress). RNAcentral's name for it is "ATSL034180". Lineage: Eukaryota; Viridiplantae; Streptophyta; Magnoliopsida; Brassicales; Brassicaceae. The record is from RNAcentral.
GUACUCAAAGUCCGUACAAGUCUUUGGCUUUGUAUCUUCUAACAAGGAAACACUACGAAGGCUUUUAACGUCCAGUUGCAAUCUAGUCAUAUUUGACUCCAAAACACUAACAUAGCUUCUUCUUGCUUCUCGA